RNAcentral lists this unclassified non-coding RNA (2091 nucleotides) under Hevea brasiliensis (rubber tree). Lineage: Eukaryota; Viridiplantae; Streptophyta; Magnoliopsida; Malpighiales; Euphorbiaceae. The record is from RNAcentral.
AAUUUAACGAGUCACCUAGAAAACUGAACGAGUAGACUUGAAGAUCCCAAUUUGACAAUCCAAAGGGGAAAGACGUACUAGAUACCUGCUGAUCCAACACGAGUAUGAUUAUCUCGUCUUACAAAAUAUGAAACGUCGUGCAGAUGAUUCCAUCAAAUCAAGGGGCCCAAUCCCGAGUUGCGGAAUAAGAUCAGCGAAUCCGGGUCGAUCACCUGCCCUCAGCCACACGUCAACAAUUGGAAGCGAUCAACUAUCAUAAUCCAGGCGGGUGGCGUUCCCGAAUACCAAACAGCGAUGACAAACCGGGCUUGGACCAAUGACCAGAGAUAGAAGAUUAUUAGCCAAAGUAGAUAGGGUUCAGGGGAAUAGGAAAAGGCCCUAUGGAGUAAAGGGAAGGGGCUUGAGUUCUGAGACGAAGAGUUGGCUUGGCUUUGAAGGGACAUAUGGAAGAACGAGGCAUCGUAGAUGAGGAGAUCCAGUUGUGCUUGCUGCCUAUCCACUUGGCGAGUAAGAGGCUCUGUGCAAGAGUGGAAGGUAUUCCUUGUGCCUUUGGCUGCUCUUCUUAGCCUUAGCCUAGCCGGUUCCUUAGUUGGUCAUUCAUGAUUGGCUUAGUCAAUCCGUUCACUUGCCUGUGGCUUUCCCUGCCCCUUUUAGUAGUGCUUUAGUCAUUCCCGAACCCCCAACUGCCUCUCCUUCGCUCUCCUCUGUCGAAGAUGAUAUUCAAUAGCUUUGUCACUCCAGUAAUCUGUUCGUUAGCCAACAACCCGCUCUCGUUCGGAAACAACUCUUGAAGAGCCUUCCGCUUCGGCAACUAAUAACCAUAGUUAUUAGCUUCUGGUCUAUAGUCACUGAUCUCGAGUAUGCCCUCCGCCUCUCCUCUUUUUCUUGGGUCUAUCACCUCCGCUCACAAAUCUCUGUCUCCUUCGUUCGUGUCUGUCUUCCGGUUGAUGAUGAACUUGUUGUUUUCUUAGGCGUAGGUGUAGGUGCUCUUCUCUUAUUCGUAUGAGUUGUAUAUGGUUGAGUGAAACCUCUUGAAGAGCUUUUCCUUACCUAUGUCCCUUAGCCAAUCAAGCCUUACUUUCUUUCCCUUUUCUUCUUUUGUUUCCUGCCUCGGUCAGCUUUUCUUUGAUCUAUCUCCGCGGGUCACUAAACUAACCUUCUCUGGUCCGCUUUGGCUAUUGAACUAAUCUUCUUCGAACCCCCAGGCCGAACUCGGAAAGUCCAACCAAUGUAUGAUACACCCGACACUGCAACCGUCUCUUCAAUCGGGUCAAGUCCGCCAUCGAACCCCCUAGACCCCAAGCCAGUAAGUUUGACCAGGAAUGCCUGCGAACGGCAUAAUCAUGAAUAAGAAGAGCAACCGGUAAACGAGUGCGAAGGGAGCGAAGGUUACAAAGCGGGUUUUUCUAUCUAAGGAAGUCUAGUCUCCAUCAGGCGAGUUGAACGAUCUACUGAAAUAGCCUGAUGGCGAAUGGGACCUCUUUAAGACAUUACCUUGGCUUUUUAGGUCUUGAAUUCUUUCAGAUCCUGCCCGGCUUACUUUCGCUAGUCAUAAUAGUAAGCACCUCACUCCUCACCGAAACUGCGAAGGGACGGCGCGUACACAAAAUGGCGGCUUACCGCAAGUCCCUUCGGUCUCCCUUUAGCUCUGGUGGGCGUGGUUCUGUAGUUCUUCUGGCCUUCCUUCAUGUCGUAGCCUUAGCUUAUCGAUGGGUCUUGCAUUAGAUACAUACAGCAUUUUCUUUGACUCAUGCCUUGGAGAAGAACGUUCUUUGUUUGAGUUUGAAGCCGUUAUCUUUCGGGAGCUACCUGGGCGAGACCCUUCUCUUUUUAUUAUUUCCAUAUGUGGUAUGUUGAAUCACUUGUGAAGUUGACUUGACUUGACUGUGCCUGCUUCAACUUCACCCUAGAACUUGUGCUGUGUAGUGUAGCGCAACUAGACUAACAGGCGGUUGAGUGAAUUUAUGAACAAGCAACUGGCAAUACCUUUCUAUUUUGUGAUUCUUCCUCCACUCACCUUCAGGGGUGAAUUCUGUCUUUGCUCUUUCUUGGCUAGUGUAGUAGAUGGAAUUCUAGGUCAUUCAGAUUUCG